ACUACGGGUGGCAGCAGUGGGGAAUCUUGCGCAAUGGGCGAAAGCCUGACGCAGCGACGCCGCGUGGGGGAUGAAGGUCUUCGGAUCGUAAACCUCUGUCAGCAGGGAAGAACGGUCACUGUGCUAAUCAGCAGUGAAUUGACGGUACCUGCAAAGGAAGCACCGGCUAACUCCGUGCCAGCAGCCGCGGUAAUACGGAGGGUGCGAGCGUUAAUCGGAAUUACUGGGCGUAAAGCGCUCGUAGGCGGGAUGUCAAGUCAAGGGUGAAAGCCCCGGGCUCAACGUGGGAACGGCCUUGGAAACUGGGAAACUGGAGUGUGUAAGAGGAUAGUGGAAUUCCAGGUGUAGGAGUGAAAUCCGUAGAUAUCUGGAGGAACAGCAGUGGCGAAGGCGACUAUCUGGCACAUAACUGACGCUGAGGAGCGAAAGCGUGGGUAGCAAACAGGAUUAGAUACCCUUGUAGUC
Molecule: ribosomal RNA, 465 nt
Filed under: uncultured bacterium
Lineage: Bacteria
Description: partial 16S ribosomal RNA
Rfam family: Bacterial small subunit ribosomal RNA
Source: RNAcentral